GUGACUGAGCGGCGGACGGGUGAGUAACGCGUGGGUAACCUGCCUCAUACAGGGGGAUAACAGUUGGAAACGGCUGCUAAUACCGCAUAAGCGCACAGUACCGCAUGGUACCGUGUGAAAAACUCCGGUGGUAUGAGAUGGACCCGCGUCUGAUUAGGUAGUUGGUGGGGUAACGGCCUACCAAGCCGACGAUCAGUAGCCGACCUGAGAGGGUGACCGGCCACAUUGGGACUGAGACACGGCCCAAACUCCUACGGGAGGCAGCAGUGGGGAAUAUUGCACAAUGGGGGAAACCCUGAUGCAGCGACGCCGCGUGGGCGAUGAAGUAUUUCGGUAUGUAAAGCUCUAUCAGCAGGGAAGAAAAUGACGGUACCUGACUAAGAAGCACCGGCUAAAUACGUGCCAGCAGCCGCGGUAAUACGUAUGGUGCAAGCGUUAUCCGGAUUUACUGGGUGUAAAGGGAGCGUAGACGGAGUGGCAAGUCUGAUGUGAAAACCCGGGGCUCAACCCCGGGACUGCAUUGGAAACUGUCAAUCUGGAGUACCGGAGAGGUAAGCGGAAU
This 562-nucleotide ribosomal RNA is filed under the name uncultured Lachnospiraceae bacterium. Its description in RNAcentral is "bacterial SSU rRNA". It matches the Rfam family "Bacterial small subunit ribosomal RNA", at positions 87 to 667 of the family's 1533-position model. The record is from RNAcentral. Lineage: Bacteria; Bacillati; Bacillota; Clostridia; Lachnospirales; Lachnospiraceae.